CGCCAAGCAAAAACAUAGAUGGAAAAUAUCAAUUUUGCCUACUACCUAUGGGGUGUGGCCCUUCCCUUUUCCAUUCCCAUUCACCUCGGCACUUUCCUUUCACUUACGGAAUGUCACGUUUAAUGAAAUUUCAGUGUCUUUUUUUUCAACUAUUCUAACUAGACUGUCAAACUUGGUCGGCAAAUCUUAUGCUUCCUCGAUGGCUUCGGGAUUCACUGCUUCAUUAGUCAUGCUAGAAUCACCGCUUGAUUCUUCAUUUAUGACCCAAUCAAAAUACCCAUAGUUACCACUACAUAUUUUGAAUAAUCGCCCUUUGUUCUUUGUCUCAAUUUCAACUUCAAAAUAUAUUUGCAAUCCGUGCAUACACUAUGGGCAUCGUCGUUUUAUCGGGUAAUUCAGGAAGAAGUGGUCCAUACUUCUACAACUGUGAUAGACACCAAAUCAUCCUGGAAGAAAAAAACAAUGAGUUCG
RNAcentral lists this long non-coding RNA (471 nucleotides) under Olea europaea subsp. europaea. Lineage: Eukaryota; Viridiplantae; Streptophyta; Magnoliopsida; Lamiales; Oleaceae. The record is from RNAcentral.